RNAcentral lists this long non-coding RNA (1055 nucleotides) under Manacus vitellinus (golden-collared manakin). RNAcentral describes it as "lncRNA (ENSMVIG00005005885.1)". The record is from RNAcentral. Lineage: Eukaryota; Metazoa; Chordata; Aves; Passeriformes; Pipridae.
AAAGUAGUAUAUGAAUUAAAAAAGAACUUGAUGUGAUAUUUCCAAGGGAAGUAUUAGACAUAACAGAUCAUUUACUUCAUAUUAGCUGGUACCAUCCAUUUAGAAAACCUCACCAGUACUUAAGUACAGACAUACAAGUACUAUGGAAAAAUGUUCAAAAGCUCCACUAUUUCAAAUCAACUGAUUUCAAAUGAUUCAAUACUAACUGAUUUUCUUCAUAUGCUGCCAUAUAUACAACCAAAAUAUUUUUACUAAAUCUGUUAAAAUUAAAAAAAAACACAACCAAUUAAAUGAUAAGAACUCAGAUCAAAAAACAAGUACUUCCUUAAGCACUAUUUGUCUAAAUAUUGUCUUAAUGUAAAUUUUAACACUGUUUCCAAACCAGUACUGUUAAUGUUUUCUCUUGUUUUCACUCCCAAGGAUUAAAGUGAGUUAUUAUAUAUAAUGACACCUAAGCCAAAGCAGCAGAAAUCUAUGACUGCCAUUGGGAAUUUGACAACAAAUGUUAAAUUCGUAACAGACCACAUCUUACUCAACUCUCCCUAGAAAAGACAUACAUCCAAAGAAUCCAAGAAAUCACCCUUCUUCGCCCUCACUCCACCUAAAAAGCCUGGAUCACUCAUCCCAUUGACAACCUUGACUAACGUUUCUCAGUUGGAGAAGACAACCACCGACCUACAAGUGAACACCAAAACUGAAGGAGCUUUAUCCAGAGCAAGGCCUUAAGCACGUAGCUGGUCACUGCUUCCCUGAACCACUGCAGUGCAUUGCCACCACCCCUGAACGUUCUUCCCUGGGACGGCUGCGCGGGUGGGACUCAAGUGCCACGAGAAGGGCUGCUCCCGAGGCAGACCGAGCACAGCAAAACAGCGCCCAGAACCAAACACGCUGUGCACUAAACCGCGAACACACAUCAAGAUACAAUCAUCUCAUCAUUAACUUUGAGUAGCAAGUACUUAACCUCAAAUGAAGCAGCCUGCGUGCAUUGGAACAGAUGUGUAAGUUUGUUUGUUUUGCUCAAUAAACUAGUGGGCAGCUUGUUUAUCUUGGGUCUU